GCCUGGCUGGCUCAGUCAGUAGAGCAUGUGACUCUCAAUCUUGUGGUCGUGAGUUCAAGUCCCGUGUUGGGCA
Molecule: transfer RNA, 73 nt
Filed under: Ailuropoda melanoleuca (giant panda)
Lineage: Eukaryota; Metazoa; Chordata; Mammalia; Carnivora; Ursidae
Rfam family: tRNA
About the family: Transfer RNA (tRNA) molecules are approximately 80 nucleotides in length. Their secondary structure includes four short double-helical elements and three loops (D, anti-codon, and T loops).
Source: Rfam by way of RNAcentral